UAACAAGGAUUCCCCUAGUAACUGCGAGUGAAGCGGGAAAAGCUCAAAUUUAAAAUCUGGCAGCCUUGGCUGUCCGAGUUGUAAUCUGGAGAAGCGUCUUCCGCGCUGGACCGUGUACAAGUCUCCUGGAACGGAGCGUCAUAGAGGGUGAGAAUCCCGUCUUUGACACGGACUACCAGUGCUCUGUGAUGCGCUCUCAAAGAGUCGAGUUGUUUGGGAAUGCAGCUCAAAAUGGGUGGUAAACUCCAUCUAAAGCUAAAUAUUGGCGAGAGACCGAUAGCGAACAAGUACCGUGAGGGAAAGAUGAAAAGCACUUUGGAAAGAGAGUUAAACAGUACGUGAAAUUGCUGAAAGGGAAACGCUUGAAGUCAGUCGCGUUUGCUAGGACUCAGCCUUGCCUCGGCUUGGUGCAUUUCCUAGUAGACGGGCCAGCAUCACUUUUGACUGCGGGAGAAAGGUUGGAGGAAUGUGGCACCUUCGGGUGUGUUAUAGCCUCUAGCUGUAUGCCGUGGUUGGGAGUGAGGAACUCAGCACGCCGCAAGGCGGGGCUUCGGCCACCUUCGUGCUUAGGAUGCUGGCGUAAUGGCUUUAAACGAC
RNAcentral lists this ribosomal RNA (597 nucleotides) under Phanerochaete sordida. Its description in RNAcentral is "eukaryotic LSU rRNA". It matches the Rfam family "Eukaryotic large subunit ribosomal RNA", at positions 66 to 648 of the family's 3401-position model. The record is from RNAcentral. Lineage: Eukaryota; Fungi; Basidiomycota; Agaricomycetes; Polyporales; Phanerochaetaceae.